AGGAUGAAGGUGGAAGUGGUGGGAGAGAUCCCCUCUUGUCUACAGCCCCCUUGUCCUGCCUACAGCCUCUCUGUUUGGUCAGGUUUAAAUGAUGCCCUCGCUCUGUCUGUGGUUGGCUGCGGCAUUGCCAUCUCUCUCGGACAAAUCUUUGCCCUAAAAUAUGGCUACAAUGUUGACAGCAACCAGGUGAAAAACACUGUCAAUGACCGUGUGAUUGGAAAUCCUUCUGGGUACCCUGGUGGUGAGCCUGGUGUCAAUCGUUGGCCUCAUCAUCAAGGAGCUCAACACCCAGCUGGGAAAAAAACUGUCAGUACCCAUUCCUGUAGAGCUGCUGGCGGUCAACCUUGAGGGGGAGUAUGAAGUGGAAGUGGUGGGAGAGAUCCCCUCUUGCUGGUGUGGAUGACCACUCUGGUUCUGACCGUGCUCUUCAAACCUGACCUAUGCCUGGCAGCCUCCAUUGCCUUCUCGAUGCUCACGGUCAUCUUCAGGACCCAGCUUUUCAGGCCAAAGUACUCCUCUUCUAGGGCAGGCCCCUGAGACUGACAUCUACAGACCAGUGGACGAUUAUAAUCAGCGUGGGAUUGACGUCACUAAAUGAAUCUCCCGAAAGAAGAAAGCGGAGGCCAAGAGAUUGAGGAAGGAAAAGAAAGAGGCCAGGAAAGCCAAAAGAAAAAAGGAAAAAGAAGAACGCCCAGGAACUGGUGAGGAGGAGUGACACUGAAAAGAUAGGGAGAAUACCAGUCUGUUUGUAUAGUGUAAUCCACUAAUAGGGUCUAAGGUUAGGAUAGUAUUGGAUUAAUAUGCAGGUAAUGUGAUGGGUGGGUGUCCACUGAAUGAUCCUUCCAUGUGUUCUCCUGUCCAGGAGGGGGAGCCAGUCAGUUCAGAGAAGGAUGUGGAGAAGGAUCAAAACAUGUCCAAUCUAAUGUUAUUUGUCACAUGUUUAGCAGAUGUUAUUGCGGGUGUUAUUGCUUGUGAUGCAAUGUGAGAUGCUGUCUGCCUGUUGUCAUACAGGUUGAGUCAGAUUCAAUAAUGCUUUACUGCUAUGACU
Salvelinus sp. IW2-2015 is the source of this 1048-nucleotide long non-coding RNA. RefSeq lists it as uncharacterized. The record is from RefSeq and is a predicted model, not a curated record. NCBI's taxonomy places the organism in Eukaryota, Metazoa, Chordata, Actinopteri, Salmoniformes, Salmonidae.